Molecule: small nucleolar RNA, 127 nt
Filed under: Callorhinchus milii (elephant shark)
Lineage: Eukaryota; Metazoa; Chordata; Chondrichthyes; Chimaeriformes; Callorhinchidae
Source: RNAcentral
CUGCACAGUCUUUGAACCUAUAUUGUAUUCAACUAAUUGCUCUAUAGGCCAAGCAACUGUUACCUUGUUAUAACUGGGACUUUUCAGCAAUCUCACUGAACGGCUCUUUUAAAAUGAAGGUACAUUC